This 253-nucleotide ribosomal RNA is filed under the name uncultured bacterium. RNAcentral describes it as "partial 16S ribosomal RNA". It matches the Rfam family "Bacterial small subunit ribosomal RNA", at positions 524 to 776 of the family's 1533-position model. The record is from RNAcentral.
UACAGAGACUGCAAGCGUUAUUCGGAUUCACUGGGCGUAAAGGGUGCGCAGGCGGCCGAGUGUGUUAGAUGUGAAAUCCCGGGGCUCAACCCCGGAACUGCGUCUAAAACUACUUGGCUAGAGUAUUGGAGAGGUAAGCGGAAUUCCUGGUGUAGCGGUGAAAUGCGUAGAUAUCAGGAGGAACACCUGUGGUGUAGACAGCUUACUGGACCACUUCUGACGCUGAGACACGAAAGCGUGGGUAGCAAACAGG